GCCGACGUGGUGGAAUUGGUAGACACGCCGUCUUGAGGGGGCGGUGGCGCAAGCUGUGCGAGUUCGAGUCUCGCCGUCGGCACCA
RNAcentral lists this transfer RNA (85 nucleotides) under Gammaproteobacteria bacterium. RNAcentral's name for it is "tRNA-Leu". It matches the Rfam family "tRNA". From Rfam's summary of the family: Transfer RNA (tRNA) molecules are approximately 80 nucleotides in length. Their secondary structure includes four short double-helical elements and three loops (D, anti-codon, and T loops). Further hydrogen bonds mediate the characteristic L-shaped molecular structure. tRNAs have two regions of fundamental functional importance: the anti-codon, which is responsible for specific mRNA codon recognition, and the 3' end, to which the tRNAs corresponding amino acid is attached (by aminoacyl-tRNA synthetases). tRNAs cope with the degeneracy of the genetic code in two manners: having more than one tRNA (with a specific anti-codon) for a particular amino acid; and 'wobble' base-pairing, i.e. permitting non-standard base-pairing at the 3rd anti-codon position. The record is from RNAcentral. Lineage: Bacteria; Pseudomonadati; Pseudomonadota; Gammaproteobacteria. RNAcentral also lists the same sequence under 2 other names.